CUGACCAGGGACCUCUCCACUGAGACAGCUGGAAGAUGGCCCAGGUAAGACCAGAAGCUCUGAAACGGAGGAGCAAAGGAGACAGGGCGCCAGAAGCAAAGUGACAGGAGGAGCAACGGGGAAGACCGUCCUGGGCACAGGUGCUGCUGGCUACGAGAGAUUGGAGUUGAAAGAGGCAGAUGCUGAGCCUGAGGCCCCAACAUAAGAGGAAACAUGAGAAGCCACACACCAAGGGAAGACCUGCCAGUGUAUGUGGUCAUGAUGAGUCCCUGGAUCUCAGUCCGGGCACUUAGACUUUUAACCCCAGAACUUAGUAUACAUUUCAGUAAUUAAAUAUCAAGCCACUUCUGUGCUUGCUUCAUUCUUCACUCCUGAAAUCCUGGCAUCCGUCAUUCCUAAAUAUAAUACAUGCCAGUGUGCGGCGGCGGGUGUCAGCUUACCAGAAUGCCAUUAUCCCCUCGCCCUCUGCCAAGGAAUCACUUUACACGGACAUUCUUCCUGGGACGGCUGGCCUGUGCCUCCCCAGAGCCUGGAGGCAACAGCAGGAGAGUGGACAUCACCAGCUGGGGACCUGCCUGCACCCGCCGACAGCCACAUGCCCUUGAGCGACUCCGAUGAAAGCCACAGAAACGCUGCCAGCUGCCGCCCAAACACGAGUGCAGCUCUGGAAGUCACCUGUGACCUCUUCCCCUGCACCAUAGGCCCCUGGCUCUGCCUCCUGGUAUGGGCCCUAGUGUCUUACCUGCUCCCUCAGAGCUGGAAAGGUCUGCCCCUGCCCCCAUCAAAAAAGGAAGUUCCAUUUUAAAAAGAAAGAUUCUGAAAAUUGAAAUUUGUUCAAUAGGAACCAAGAAAUUGGAAGAGGCCCCUUCUUCCAAUCCCCCCACCCCCACACCCACACCCACAGAGAGCCAUUAUAAAUGGGAAAGGAGCAUCACCCUUUCCAGGGUGUCCCAGCACCCUGGGGACAAUUCGGGCCCCCGGGGGCAAGCCACUGCAGGGAGUCACUGGUUUUCUCCAUUAGUCUCUUUUACUUAUGUGUGUCUCUGCCUUAAUAAAACUCUAUCUGAA
Molecule: long non-coding RNA, 1068 nt
Organism: Canis lupus familiaris (dog)
Lineage: Eukaryota; Metazoa; Chordata; Mammalia; Carnivora; Canidae
Exons: 2
Source: RefSeq, a predicted model, not a curated record